ACGCACGCUGGCGGCGUGCUUAACACAUGCAAGUCGAACGGAAAGGCCCUGCUUUUGUGGGGUGCUCGAGUGGCGAACGGGUGAGUAACACGUGAGUAACCUGCCCUUGACUUUGGGAUAACUUCAGGAAACUGGGGCUAAUACCGGAUAGGAGCUCCUGCUGCCUGGUGGGGGUUGGAAAGUUUCGGCGGUUGGGGAUGGACUCGCGGCUUAUCAGCUUGUUGGUGGGGUAGUGGCUUACCAAGGCUUUGACGGGUAGCCGGCCUGAGAGGGUGACCGGCCACAUUGGGACUGAGAUACGGCCCAGACUCCUACGGGAGGCAGCAGUGGGGAAUAUUGCACAAUGGGCGGAAGCCUGAUGCAGCAACGCCGCGUGCGGGAUGACGGCCUUCGGGUUGUAAACCGCUUUCGCCUGUGACGAAGCGUGAGUGACGGUAAUGGGUAAAGAAGCACCGGCUAACUACGUG
This 467-nucleotide ribosomal RNA is filed under the name uncultured bacterium. Its description in RNAcentral is "partial 16S ribosomal RNA". It matches the Rfam family "Bacterial small subunit ribosomal RNA", at positions 29 to 507 of the family's 1533-position model. The record is from RNAcentral.